Molecule: ribosomal RNA, 1758 nt
Filed under: Clostridioides difficile
Lineage: Bacteria; Bacillati; Bacillota; Clostridia; Peptostreptococcales; Peptostreptococcaceae
Description: partial 23S ribosomal RNA
Rfam family: Bacterial large subunit ribosomal RNA
Source: RNAcentral
GGUCGAGUGAUCCUGCGCCGAAGAUUUCCGGGGCUAAAACUUACUACCGAAGCUACGGCAUCAGUAAUGAUGGGUAGGGGAGCUUCCCAUACGGGUUGAAGCAUGACCGUAAGGACAUGUGGACAGUAUGGGAGUGAGAAUGUUGGCAUGAGUAGCGAGAUGUGGGUGAGAAUCCCACAGGCCGUAAACCCAAGGUUUCCAGGGGAAGGUUCGUCCGCCCUGGGUUAGUCGGGACCUAAGCUGAGGCCGAAAGGCGUAGGUGAUGGACAACAGGUUGAUAUUCCUGUACUACCGAUAACCGUUUGAGAGAAGGGAUGACACAGUAGGAUAAGCUAAGCACACUGUUGGUUAUGUGUGCCCAAGCAUUGAGGCAGUCAAAGUAGGCAAAUCCGCUUUGAUAAUGCUGGGAUGUGAUGGGGAGCGAAAUUUAGUAGCGAAGUAGCUGAUUUCACACUGUCAAGAAAAGUCUCUAUCGAGGUUAAAGGUACCCGUACCGCAAACCGACACAGGUGGGUGAGGAGAGUAUCCUAAGGCCAGCGAGAGAACUGUUGUUAAGGAACUCGGCAAAAUGACCCCGUAACUUAGGGAUAAGGGGUGCCACCAUCAGGUGGCCGCAGAGAAUAGGCCCAAGCGACUGUUUACCAAAAACAUAGGUUUCUGCUAAGUCGCAAGACGAUGUAUAGGAGCUGACGCCUGCCCGGUGCUGGAAGGUUAAGGGGAUCUGUUAGAGCAAUCGAAGCAGUGAACUUAAGCCCCAGUAAACGGCGGCCGUAACUAUAACGGUCCUAAGGUAGCGAAAUUCCUUGUCGGGUAAGUUCCGACCCGCACGAAAGGCGUAACGAUUUGGGCACUGUCUCAACAACAGACUCGGUGAAAUUGUAAUUCCGGUGAAGAUGCCGGAUACCUGCGACAGGACGGAAAGACCCCAUGGAGCUUUACUGUAGCUUGACAUUGGGUCUUGGUACUACAUGUACAGGAUAGGUGGGAGGCUUUGAAACCAGGACGCCAGUUUUGGCGGAGCCAUCCUUGGGAUACCACCCUUGUAGUACUGGGACUCUAACCAUAGGCCAUGAAUCUGGUCUUGGGACACUGUCAGGUGGGCAGUUUGACUGGGGCGGUCGCCUCCCAAAAGGUAACGGAGGCGCUCAAAGGUUCUCUCAGUACGGUCGGAAAUCGUACGUAGAGUGUAAAGGCAAAAGAGAGCUUGAUUGCAAGACAUACAGGUCGAGCAAGGAUGAAAAUCGGACUUAGUGAUCCGGUGGUUCUGCGUGGAAGGGCCAUCGCUCAACGGAUAAAAGCUACCCUGGGGAUAACAGGCUUAUCUCCCCCAAGAGUCCACAUCGACGGGGAGGUUUGGCACCUCGAUGUCGGCUCAUCACAUCCUGGGGCUGUAGUAGGUCCCAAGGGUUGGGCUGUUCGCCCAUUAAAGUGGUACGCGAGCUGGGUUCAGAACGUCGUGAGACAGUUCGGUCCCUAUCCGUCGCAGGCGUAGGAAAUUUGAGAAGACCUGUCCUUAGUACGAGAGGACCGGGAUGGACGUACCUCUGGUGUACCAGUUGUCCUGCCAAGGGCAUGGCUGGGUAGCUAUGUACGGAAUGGAUAAGCGCUGAAAGCAUCUAAGCGCGAAGCCAACUUCAAGAUAAGAUUUCCCACCGCAAGGGUAAGACCCCAGAAAGACUAUCUGGUUGAUAGGUCGAAGGUGUAAGUGCAGCAAUGUAUUUAGCUUAUCGAUACUAAUAGGUCGAGGACUUGACCAAU